GGAGGGCGCAAGCGUUGUUCGGAAUCAUUGGGCGUAAAGCGCGUGUAGGCGGCUUGGCAAGUCGGACGUGAAAAGCCCGGGGCUCAACCCCGGAACUGCGCUCGAAACUGCCUCGCUAGAGUCCCGGAGAGGAGGGCGGAAUUCCCGGUGUAGAGGUGAAAUUCGUAGAUAUCGGGAGGAACACCAGCGGCGGAGGCGGCCCUCUGGACGGUGACUGACGCUCAGACGCGAAAGCGUGGGGAGCAAACAGGAUUAGAUACCCUGGUAGUCCACGCCGUAAACGUUGGUGCUAGGUGUCGCGGGUAUUGACCCCCUGCGGUGCCGCCGUUAACGCAUUUAGCACCCCGCCUGGGAGUACGGUCGCAAGGCUA
RNAcentral lists this ribosomal RNA (371 nucleotides) under uncultured organism. RNAcentral describes it as "partial 16S ribosomal RNA". It matches the Rfam family "Bacterial small subunit ribosomal RNA", at positions 527 to 896 of the family's 1533-position model. The record is from RNAcentral.